RNAcentral lists this ribosomal RNA (464 nucleotides) under Vreelandella stevensii. RNAcentral's name for it is "partial 16S ribosomal RNA". It matches the Rfam family "Bacterial small subunit ribosomal RNA", at positions 338 to 795 of the family's 1533-position model. Lineage: Bacteria; Pseudomonadati; Pseudomonadota; Gammaproteobacteria; Oceanospirillales; Halomonadaceae. The record is from RNAcentral.
CCUACGGCGUGCAGCAGUGGGGAAUAUUGGACAAUGGGCGAAAGCCUGAUCCAGCCAUGCCGCGUGUGUGAAGAAGGCCUUCGGGUUGUAAAGCACUUUCAGUGGGGAAGAAAGCCUUGGGGCUAAUACCCUCGAGGAAGGACAUCACCCACAGAAGAAGCACCGGCUAACUCCGUGCCAGCAGCCGCGGUAAUACGGAGGGUGCGAGCGUUAAUCGGAAUUACUGGGCGUAAAGCGCGCGUAGGCGGUCUGAUAAGCCGGUUGUGAAAGCCCCGGGCUCAACCUGGGAACGGCAUCCGGAACUGUCAGGCUAGAGUGCAGGAGAGGAAGGUAGAAUUCCCGGUGUAGCGGUGAAAUGCGUAGAGAUCGGGAGGAAUACCAGUGGCGAAGGCGGCCUUCUGGACUGACACUGACGCUGAGGUGCGAAAGCGUGGGUAGCAAACAGGAUUAAUACCCUGGUAGUC